AUAUCAGUAAGCGGAGGAAAAGAAACCAACAGGGGUUACCCUAGUAACGGCGAGUGAAGCGGUAACAGCUCAAAUUUGAAAUCUGGCCCUCCCGGGUCCGAGUUGUAAUUUGUAGAGGAUGUUUCGGGCAAGGCCAUCGUUUAAUUUUCUUGGAACAGAAAGUCAUAGAGGGUGAGAGUCCCGUCUGGAACGCUGGCCGCGUCCAUGUGAAACUCCCUCGACGAGUCGAGUUGUUUGGGAAUGCAGCUCAAAAUGGGUGGUAAAUUUCAUCUAAAGCUAAAUAUUGGCCAGAGACCGAUAGCGCACAAGUA
Molecule: ribosomal RNA, 311 nt
Filed under: uncultured Polyblastia
Lineage: Eukaryota; Fungi; Ascomycota; Eurotiomycetes; Verrucariales; Verrucariaceae
Description: partial large subunit ribosomal RNA
Rfam family: Eukaryotic large subunit ribosomal RNA
Source: RNAcentral